AUUGAACGCUGGCGGCAUGCCUUACACAUGCAAGUCGAACGGUAACGGGCCUUCGGGUGCCGACGAGUGGCGAACGGGUGAGUAAUACAUCGGAACGUGCCCGAUCGUGGGGGAUAACGAGGCGAAAGCUUUGCUAAUACCGCAUACGAUCUACGGAUGAAAGCAGGGGACCGCAAGGCCUUGCGCGGACGGAGCGGCCGAUGGCAGAUUAGGUAGUUGGUGGGAUAAAAGCUUACCAAGCCGACGAUCUGUAGCUGGUCUGAGAGGAUGAUCAGCCACACUGGGACUGAGACACGGCCCAGACUCCUACGGGAGGCAGCAGUGGGGAAUUUUGGACAAUGGGCGCAAGCCUGAUCCAGCCAUGCCGCGUGCAGGAUGAAGGCCUUCGGGUUGUAAACUGCUUUUGUACGGAACGAAAAGCCUACUUUUAAUACAGGAGGGUCAUGACGGUACCGUAAGAAUAAGCACCGGCUAACUACGUG
RNAcentral lists this ribosomal RNA (482 nucleotides) under uncultured bacterium. Its description in RNAcentral is "partial 16S ribosomal RNA". It matches the Rfam family "Bacterial small subunit ribosomal RNA", at positions 30 to 507 of the family's 1533-position model. The record is from RNAcentral.